This 255-nucleotide ribosomal RNA is filed under the name uncultured bacterium. RNAcentral's name for it is "partial 16S ribosomal RNA". It matches the Rfam family "Bacterial small subunit ribosomal RNA", at positions 524 to 776 of the family's 1533-position model. The record is from RNAcentral.
UACGAAGGGGGGCUAGCGUUGCUCGGAAUCACUGGGCGUAAAGCGCACGUAGGCGGCUUUCUAAGUCAGGGGUGAAAUCCUGGAGCUCAACUCCAGAACUGCCUUUGAUACUGGAGAGCUCGAGUCCGGAAGAGGUGAGUGGAACUGCGAGUGUAGAGGUGAAAUUCGUAGAUAUUCGCAAGAACACCAGUGGCGAAGGCGGACUCACUGGUCCGGUACUGACGCUGAGGUGCGAAAGCGUGGGGAGCAAACAGG